RNAcentral lists this long non-coding RNA (2080 nucleotides) under Canis lupus familiaris (dog). RNAcentral describes it as "lncRNA (ENSCAFG00845026556.1)". Lineage: Eukaryota; Metazoa; Chordata; Mammalia; Carnivora; Canidae. The record is from RNAcentral.
UUUAAUUUUCUUACUAGCCCUUAUACUACCUAACAUAAUAUACAUUUACAUUGAUUUGUUAAUUUCUUGAAUAGGAAAUUUGGUUCAUCCACUUCUGUAUCUCUAACACUUAGAACAAAAGCAUAUAAUAGGUGCUCUAUCAAUCAUUCAAUCAAUCCAUAUUAAUAAAUGGAUAUAUAUGUAUAUGGAUGAAUUAUUAUCUAUAUACUACUUGCUCUGAACUAGGCUUUCAGUAGAUUGUAAAGAACUGGCUGUCUUCAUGGAGUUUACCAUUUCAUGGUAUGAUCAGUGAAGCUAAGAUGCUCAGUUUUCUUGUAACUUGUCUCUUUGUACUCUUAAUUCCUCCCUUCAAAUCCUAGCAUUUCUGACAAGGAAAUCAUGCCCUUCACAGGUUCACAGACCCUCUGGCUGUCUUUAUGACUUUUCCUUUUGAACUUCAAAGAUGUCUUUGAUGUUCAUAAUAGUGUCUGAAGAAAGCUAGCACAUGGUGAGCUUUGCCCUCACAUCUGUUUGGCUGACCUUAUUGUUCUGUGCUCUCUCAGGCCAAAGGACACAUAAAGGACAAUGUCUGUAUCAAAGAGAUGAAAUAUUUGCUUGACCCUUUCCUCUCACAGAACAUUCCAUCCUGGCUCACCUAAAUGUCUUGGGUCUGGGGUUAAGCUAUUCCCAUGACAUGAUCUGGAAAAUUUCUGAGCAGUUUCUCAGAAAGCAGAGGUACGUGUCUUCCUCAACACCACUAUUCUUUUCCUAGAAAAUGCAUAAUACACAUUUUUCCACUUGGAAACAGGAAAACAUUAGGAUUACCAGAAUAGAAUCAGAUUUUUGGUUGUUAAAGUAGACUUUCGGUGCUUCUGAUUCAUCAUUGUGCAGCUGAGAAGAAAAGCAACUGAGAAGCCAGAGGACGUGUACUUGAAUCUAGAUUCCACCACUUUCCAGCCCUGUGACCUUGGGCAUUUAACCUCUCUAGCUUCAGUUUCCUCUGCUGAAUAAAUGCAGGGGAUAAUAGCAAUACUUAUAUCCUAUGAAAGUUUUGAGAGUUAAAUAAGAGAAUGUAUGUGAAAUGCACUAAGCACUUGUUACAUAUCUCAUUCAAAACUUUUGCUAUCAAUAACAUUAGAAUAACAGCUGAGACUUCUUAAUAUAAGACAUUAAGAUAAAAUCUAAUGUAGAUACUAGAUUCCAGACUAACUCAAGCAGCAUCUUUAUUUAGAUUUAAAUUGCAGUGUUAAAAAUGAGAGAUCUGUGUUGCAUUUUCCACUACUAUCUGUCAUUGUCUGUGGCUACUCCUUGUAUAUGAACACAAAUUUCAUGUUUCUACAUGAACAUAUAUAUCAAUGGAUUGAUCAGUUGAUCAACUGAUAGAGGCUUAUAUUAUGACUUUCCCAAUCAAGUAAAAAAAUUCUCCUGAGCUUUCUACAUCUGCCAUCUCCAUACUUCUCCACACCCUACAAUAUGCCCUUCAUGCUUCCUAGAGCUAUGGACACAGGGACUACAAAUUCCUCCAUAUUUAUACAUAUUAAAUACAAUUUUAAAUAAAAUUAAAAGAGAACCACUGAUAGAAAUCUCCUAAAUUUUAAAGUUUACUGUUUUCUGACUUGAAGUGGCUAGUGUUCCAGAGAGAAGGUUUUAUUGUUGACCCUUAGGUAUAUGUUUAAUUAGAAGCAUGCCCCUGGGAGUGCAGCUAUAACCAUAAGCUAGUAGGCCUCUUCCAUAGAAAGAUUGAGCUUCUGGGUCUGUUGCCUUUUGAUGUGCCCUGGGGUAGUAGCUGAUAAAGAAUUAUUUCUCUGUAGGUUAUAGUCCUCUGGGACCCACAAACAUAAGCACCACUGGCUAUCAGAGCCAACUGAUAUAGAGCAGCAACCAUAAAAUUCAGGGUACCAGAGAGGCAGCUGGAUUGCUCAGAUGUUUAAAUGUCUGACUCUUGGUUUCAACUCAGGUCAUGAUCUCAGGCUUGAUAUCAAGCCCCACGUGGGCUGGAUUCCAUGCUCAUCAUGGAGCCUGCUUAAGAUUCUCUCUCUAUCUGUCUCCCUCUGCUCCUCCCACUGCUUGUGCUUCUCUCUCUCUCAAAAAAAAAAAAAAA